RNAcentral lists this ribosomal RNA (253 nucleotides) under uncultured prokaryote. Its description in RNAcentral is "partial 16S ribosomal RNA". It matches the Rfam family "Bacterial small subunit ribosomal RNA", at positions 524 to 776 of the family's 1533-position model. The record is from RNAcentral.
UACGUAGGGUGCGAGCGUUAAUCGGAAUUACUGGGCGUAAAGCGUGCGCAGGCGGUUAUGUAAGACAGUUGUGAAAUCCCCGGGCUCAACCCGGGAACUGCGUCCGAGACUGGCAGGCUCGAAUCCGGGAGAGGGAUGUGGAAUUCCAGGUGUAGCGGUGAAAUGCGUAGAUAUCUGGAGGAACACCGGUGGUGUAGACGGCUUUCUGGACCGUAACUGACGCUGAGACACGAAAGCGUGGGUAGCAAACAGG